AUACGUAGGGUGCGAGCGUUGUCCGGAAUUACUGGGCGUAAAGAGCUCGUAGGUGGUUUGUCGCGUCGUCUGUGAAAUUCCGGGGCUUAACUCCGGGCGUGCAGGCGAUACGGGCAUAACUUGAGUACUGUAGGGGAGACUGGAAUUCCUGGUGUAGCGGUGAAAUGCGCAGAUAUCAGGAGGAACACCGGUGGCGAAGGCGGGUCUCUGGGCAAUAACUGACGCUGAGGAGCGAAAGCAUGGGUAGCGAACAGGAUUAGAUACCCUGGUAGUCCGUGCCGUAAACGGUGGGCGCUAGGUGUAGGGGUCUUCCACGACUUCUGUGCCGUAGCUAACGCAAUAAGCGCCCCGCCUGGGGAGUACGGCCGCAAGGCUAAAACUCAAAUGAAUUGGCGGGG
RNAcentral lists this ribosomal RNA (398 nucleotides) under uncultured bacterium. RNAcentral describes it as "partial 16S ribosomal RNA". It matches the Rfam family "Bacterial small subunit ribosomal RNA", at positions 523 to 918 of the family's 1533-position model. The record is from RNAcentral.